Juglans microcarpa x Juglans regia is the source of this 275-nucleotide long non-coding RNA. RefSeq lists it as uncharacterized. The record is from RefSeq and is a predicted model, not a curated record. The transcript is spliced from 3 exons. Lineage: Eukaryota; Viridiplantae; Streptophyta; Magnoliopsida; Fagales; Juglandaceae.
GGGAAAAUAGCACAUAAAUAAGAAUACAACUCUUGGUAAUUUACGAAUUCCUAAAGUAAGCUUACUAAUUUAAUUUAAAAGUCUUGGUGGCUUACUUAGGCCAUAAUCUUAGGAAAACAUGUCUAAACUAUAAACUUUAACUCUAAUAAUUUUAACACAUAAAGACAUGACUUUAAUAAAAUUAAAACAUGGCUUGGGCUUGAUAAACACUAGGAUGGCUACAGAUUUUGCUUUGUGCAACACACGGAUGGAACAUUAAAACAGAACCUAAACAC